Long non-coding RNA from Lolium perenne, 2071 nucleotides. RefSeq lists it as uncharacterized. Lineage: Eukaryota; Viridiplantae; Streptophyta; Magnoliopsida; Poales; Poaceae. The record is from RefSeq and is a predicted model, not a curated record.
CGCACUGUUUGGGCCGGCCCAUAUCCCGCUUUACUGUUUCCAUUUCUUUUGCAUCUUCGUUCUUCUCUUCUGGGUCGGCUUCUCCGUCGCCUGAGGAAACCAGUCCUCCCUCCUGCUUCCCCCGAGUUUCCCCCAAGUCUCCCUGGAGUCUCGCUCCCCGUCCCUUCUUUCGCCGGGGUUCUGCUUCGUCGGGCGGUUCUUGUAGCUGAUCUGCUUCGUCGAUGGCGGCAGAAGGUCAGUAUCCGUUCCAAUCUCACCCCCAGAUGCGCACGAUUUGGUUCGUCCUGAUUAAGGUUUUCUCAGUGGAAAGCAUGAGGAGGGAUUCGUUAGGUUGCGUACUGUUUUCGAGAUCCCCUUACAAUUCAUAUGCUUCCCUGCCCAACACAUCACGCCCAGGCUUGCUGCUAAGUGGUUAUCAAGCUGCAUGGUGAUUUAUGAUUGGUUAUUUGGAGAAUGCACAUAGUUCGUUAAGUAAAGAUGUUUUUUAUCCGUUUAUUUUAUGAUGAUUUAUGCCUGGUUACUUGGAAUUAUUUAAUCAAACAAAUUUGGAAGACUGGUAUAGCUCCAUGUCUUUUCUGGCUUGUAGUUAGCAAAAUUGUAUUAUGGGAUCUGUAGUUAGCAACUCUUCCACGCAGUAGGCUACCAAUUCGAAGGUAUAUGAAGAUAGGAUCUGGGUGGAACCUGCGCCCGUUUGAUAUUUGCAUAGUACUGUUCAUAGGGAAAUUUGUUUCUCAUAUCCACCAGAAUAGCUUGAUAGAAAAUAAAACUAUAAAACAGAUUCAAGGUAUUAUUGAUUAUUUUGAAAUAGAGCUGAACUGUAUGACAAAUUCAGUGAGCAACUUGUAAGGCUUGAUUUUGUUUUUCAUCUGUAAGGUAUUAUUGGUUCAAGGUAGAUCUCUUUUUCGUAGUGACUAUGAUUUCUUUGCUUUUUUCAGGUGUUUGAGUGACCAGCUUGUAGAAUAUUUUUUGGUUUCUCUGUUUUUCAUGUUUUCUCCAUGCUCUUUUGCUUGAUGUUUUUCUUUUUAUGGCUAUAGCUGAUAUGUGUUUUUCAACAUGGUUCUUUACUGGACUAUAGAUGAUUAUCUCUUUUUCUACAUGGUUCUUUUGCUGGCCUUUAUGAUAUUUGUAGUACCAUAGAAGUCUUGAUCUUUUUUUCGUAGCAAUCGGAAGCUUUAACAUGUUCAUGAGUUAGAUUUAAUUUUAAUCUUAUCGGUUUAUGUUUUCUGAAUAUUACUUUUCAACUUCAAUGGCAUAAUCUUGGCUAGUUUUUUAAAGCGAACUAAUGGAUGAUGUGAGUUUUAUAUAUCUGUUAAUGUGGAAACAUUCAGAACCUAUACAGUAGGCUGUUAAUUACUGUUAAUUACCUGUAAUGAAGGCAUAUGACAUGUUUUAUUGUAUCCAGAAUUUGGUUGCUGUUCAACAAUUUGAAAAAACUAAGAAGAGGAAACGUUAGUGGGUCCAGAAAUUUUUGCGGAUGACCUUCUCAACACAUCCACAUAUUAUCUGUGAUAUCUGUGAGGCCUCGUCCGACGCUGGUGUUUUGGUGAGUACUAUAUGACAGGGAUUGGGUGAAAAACUGAAAACACUUCCCCACCCUAAUCCUCUGGUGACGGCCGAGCUCCCAGGGAAUUUCCAAGGGCAUCGAGAGUUUCUGCUGGUGACCAGGUUUGGAGCAUCACGCGAGGCAGCCUGAUUAGGAUGUACGCGAGCGAAGGUAGACAUCACGAGAGCGGGAUUAUGACGUGCGCGACCAGCAAGGGCCAAAACGUGAGCAACUACUCGCGUCUCUGAUCCACUUGAAACCCGACGUGUUUUCACCGACUACCGGACUCAUUCUCAUCCAAGCCCGGCCUGCCGAACAUUCUCAAAAGAGUUUUCAACUGUAUUAUUGAGUUGGCCUGAAAGAAUACACCGCAAACCUGGCAAAGCCACCUAUACCGAACAGGGCCUGAGGGUUAUCGCGCGCGACUUCUUUAGUAUAUCAACUUAACACAUGUCAGUUCGUAUUUUGGAGACAAUUUUUUGUAAUAAACAUUUUCCAUGGAUUUUGAAAUACUGCCAGAUGCGCUGC